Molecule: ribosomal RNA, 253 nt
Filed under: uncultured bacterium
Lineage: Bacteria
Description: partial 16S ribosomal RNA
Rfam family: Bacterial small subunit ribosomal RNA
Source: RNAcentral
GACGGGGGGUCCUAGCGUUGUUCGGAAUCAUUGGGCGUAAAGCGCACGUAGGCGGCUUUGUAAGUUAGAGGUGAAAGCCCGGGGCUCAACUCCGGAAUUGCCUUUAAGACUGCAUCGCUAGAAUUGUGGAGAGGUAAGUGGAAUUCCGAGUGUAGAGGUGAAAUUCGUAGAUAUUCGGAAGAACACCAGUGGCGAAGGCGACUUACUGGACACAUAUUGACGCUGAGGUGCGAAAGCGUGGGGAGCAAACAGG